RNAcentral lists this ribosomal RNA (466 nucleotides) under uncultured Gammaproteobacteria bacterium. RNAcentral's name for it is "bacterial SSU rRNA". It matches the Rfam family "Bacterial small subunit ribosomal RNA", at positions 60 to 524 of the family's 1533-position model. Lineage: Bacteria; Pseudomonadati; Pseudomonadota; Gammaproteobacteria. The record is from RNAcentral.
AGUCGAGCGCGAAAACCCUUCGGGGUAAGUAGAGCGGCGGACGGGUGAGUAAUGCUUGGGAAUCUACCUAGUAGUGGGGGAUAACGUGUGGAAACGCACGCUAAUACCGCGUACGUCCUAAGGGAGAAAGCAGGGGAUCUUCGGACCUUGCGCUAUUAGAUGAGCCCAAGUCGGAUUAGCUAGUUGGUGAGGUAAUGGCUCACCAAGGCGACGAUCCGUAGCUGGUCUGAGAGGAUGAUCAGCCACACUGGGACUGAGACACGGCCCAGACUCCUACGGGAGGCAGCAGUGGGGAAUAUUGGACAAUGGGGGAAACCCUGAUCCAGCCAUGCCGCGUGUGUGAAGAAGGCUCUAGGGUUGUAAAGCACUUUCAGUAGGGAGGAAAAGUUUAAGGUUAAUAACCUUGAACCCUGACGUUACCUACAGAAGAAGCACCGGCAAACUCCGUGCCAGCAGCCGCGGUAAU